CCCAGCUGCUUUUCCCAGUACUGUAUUACAAAAGUAAAACAUUGUUCUAGUUGCCAUUAGAGGGCACCAGAGAGCAAGCCCCAUCACCCCUCGCACAACUUCCAGCAGAAAGCCCUCCCAGCUUCCAGCUUCGCCAUGCUCUGUAAUUCCUUCUCUCAGAGACAAAAAGAUUUGGAAGUACUGCCACAGUGUGAAGGAUAGACCUGAAUGUCCAUUACCAGCAAAUCGACUGAUUAGAAGAAAUCCACAAACUAGUUGAAGGAGAACAAGAAAAAGAGGCAAAUGAUGGACAUUAAAAUAAUCAAAUAUCAAAGAGCUGGUAAGGAUGUAAAGGUCUGUAUUUACAUUUUUUCUUUGAGCAGGUAUUUAUUGUCUGCUGUGUGCCAGGAAUUGUGCUCAGGCAUUAGAUAUAAAAGUGAAUAAGAAAGAAAUAGUCUCGGUCCUAGGAGAAGCAGCCAGUCUAGUGAGGAGAAGGCCCAGUAAAUAAGCAACUGAUUAAAUAUGACUUUUUAGAAAUAAUACUCUGUAGGUGCACUUGAAAUGAAAAUGGCUUGUUAAGCUCAGAGAAAAGAAAUAUAAGGUAGUUAAAUAUGUUAUUGGAAUCUGAAAUAAACAAGUAUUUUCGUCCUGACCACAGAAACCAAUAAUUAUUACACUUUUUAUUUGGUGGUUCUGGGGUUCAAGCCCAGGGCCCAUGCAUGCUAGGCAAGCAUUCCCCAAGCAUGCCGCGCACCCCCACCCCGUGCCUUGGAACUCCCUUUUAAAAAAUUGUAAUUGUAUGUCAUCUUUUAGGCUCUGCAAUGUCCUAUGUUCCAUCUUCAGCUCUAAGACCAGUGAUCAUAUCAUGUUGCCAAAAUGAAUUGAAGUUUUCCAAGCAAUGAAAUAACUAUCAAGUAUCCAAAUAUUAAAGUCUUAUGAUAUGUUCUUUUUUUUUUCUUCUUCCUGGUUUUGUCCAGUAGGUAAUAUUUUAAACUAAGUAACAGAAAGGCAGAUUAGCAAGACUCUCAAGGGUGAAACUGUAACAAUCAUUUUUUUCCCCUUCUUGUGUGAUACUGCUGUACCUGGCACAAACUUUACAUUUAAAUUAUUUCCCCACCAUUUAAAAAAUAUUUCUAUCUCUCCUUUAAAGAAAAAUUUAUGUCUCCAUCCUUUAUAUCUCUAGUGCCUGACAUAGUUUUUUGGAACACAGUAUAGGUUUUUGAAUAAAAGAAUACAAGAAGGAAUAAAUAUAGUUAAUCUUUGCUUCAUUGAGUUAGUAAAAAGAUCUCCUCAGCUACUUUUGUCACUCCAUUGUUGAAACACAGUUGCUUUUUUAUUUUAUACUAAUGCUUCAUAAUUUAGCAUCUAAGAUUAGCUUGUCACUCAACAAUUAAACUUCUAAAAGCCAAAAGUACCAUGUUUGUUUGUUUGUGUGUUUGUUUAUACUGAGAAUUGAACCUACAGGUACUUUACCACUGAGCUACAUUUCCAGCCCUUUUUAA
Ictidomys tridecemlineatus (thirteen-lined ground squirrel) is the source of this 1481-nucleotide non-coding RNA. Lineage: Eukaryota; Metazoa; Chordata; Mammalia; Rodentia; Sciuridae. The record is from RefSeq and is a predicted model, not a curated record.